Nothoprocta perdicaria is the source of this 213-nucleotide long non-coding RNA. RefSeq lists it as uncharacterized. The transcript has 3 exons. The record is from RefSeq and is a predicted model, not a curated record. NCBI's taxonomy places the organism in Eukaryota, Metazoa, Chordata, Aves, Tinamiformes, Tinamidae.
UGCUGUCAGGAUGAAGCCUUUCCAAGAUCUGGUACCAGUCACAUCGCUGGACUAGUCCUGCAUACGGGCAGAUAACCCCAUGCAAUGACUUGAUCAGACCAGUAGCGGUAACACAGUUACUUCAGCUGAGGGGUGAGAGCAAGGCAGCGAUGUGGGCCCUGGAGCAGGAGAAAUGUUGGGUUUGGGACUUGCAGUUCUUAGAGCAGUGCAGUA